UCCUCCGUCUGUCUCAACUGCUCAAACUCCACAACCUUUAGCUCCCUGGAACUGUCAGGGAAAGCCCACCCAGCAAAUUCGUUGGCGAACUCUUCCCAUGUCAUACUGUCAAUUCUGGGGUCCACAUAGUUCUUGAACCAUUCUCUGGCUUUCUUGCACUUUAAUGUGAACCCUGCCAUCUCAAUGGCCCUGCUAUCAUCUGCUCCCAACUCGCUUGUUAUCAUUCUGACUGCACUGAGAUACUCAAAGGGAUCAUCUCCCGUAUUGAAUUUAGGAGCA
RNAcentral lists this long non-coding RNA (279 nucleotides) under Manihot esculenta (cassava). RNAcentral describes it as "long non-coding RNA (MESC_LNC004280)". The record is from RNAcentral. Lineage: Eukaryota; Viridiplantae; Streptophyta; Magnoliopsida; Malpighiales; Euphorbiaceae.